This is a long non-coding RNA of Centruroides sculpturatus (bark scorpion), 157 nucleotides long. RefSeq lists it as uncharacterized. The transcript has 2 exons. Lineage: Eukaryota; Metazoa; Arthropoda; Arachnida; Scorpiones; Buthidae. The record is from RefSeq and is a predicted model, not a curated record.
AAAUUAGGAAUGUCUCAAAUCGUAUGGUUGCUGUGGAUAGUAAGUGUAGGUGGAAAAAUAGUGAAGAUAGGCAAUACAGAAAUUAAAGUGUCGUUGGAAGGCCUGCUGAAGAGGGACAAGCAAGUCCGAAACACAUGUUUAAAGUGUGUGUGUUCAG